GAUGAAGAACGUAGCGAAAUGCGAUACGUAGUGUGAAUUGCAGAAUUCAGUGAAUCAUCGAAUCUUUGAACGCACAUUGCACCUCUCGGUAUUCCGGGAGGUAUGCCUGUUCGAGCGUCAUUUGUACCCUCAAGCUCUGCUUGGUGUUGGGUGUUUUUUCCGCCUCUGUGUGUGAACUCGCCUCAAAACAAUUGGCAGCCGGCGUACUUGUUUCGGAGCGCAGCACAUUUUGCGAUCCAGAUCAACGUACAGCGGCAUCCAAGAAGCCUUAUUUAACGCUCUUGACCUCGGAUCAGGUAGGGAUACCCGCUGAACUUAAGCAUAUCAAUAAGCGGAGGA
Molecule: unclassified non-coding RNA, 339 nt
Filed under: soil metagenome
Description: partial contains 5.8S ribosomal RNA, internal transcribed spacer 2, and large subunit ribosomal RNA
Rfam family: 5.8S ribosomal RNA (bases 1-120)
Source: RNAcentral